RNAcentral lists this small RNA (810 nucleotides) under Homo sapiens (human). RNAcentral describes it as "partial LSINCT11 non-coding RNA". Lineage: Eukaryota; Metazoa; Chordata; Mammalia; Primates; Hominidae. The record is from RNAcentral.
CUUGGGUGCUUUGGCCCUGUGUGUCUUAUCUUUGUUAUAACAAAGAGCUUUCUUAUAACAUAUUGGUGGACAUCAUCUUUUUAGAGAAAUUGAAGUUUUUGGAUUCUGCUAGCUCUUUUGGGUCCCGGGGGAUGAGGCAGUAUAUUAUCAGGCAGUUCAGGAUUAGCCUUCUCUCUCUAACAAUAACUGAGUUGAGAAUACUCAGAUUGGCAUCCACAAUACAACCUUGAACAGAUUUGUGCAUUCUUUCUUCAGUUCUCCUUGGAGGAGAGGAAUACCCCUUACUCAGUAGCAGGCAGACACAGUCUUGGGUCAAAAUACCCUGCUUCAUGAGGAAGCCUCGUCUGUUGUCCCCACCACUGAUUCCGACCACAUAACCCUUCUAUUCUUCACCUAGAGCAUCAGCAUCAACAUCUGUGACUAUAGCUUCUCAGAAAAAGUAUGACAUUUGCAAUCCUCAUCCACUUCAAAGAGAUUCUGGCAGCCAGAGGCUGGGAAGGAGACAUUCAGCUUCAUGUUGAAGCAGCUGAUUGUCUCUGAGGCACCAUGAAAAGGAGAGGUUUUUAUAAGUGUUGUUUAUCAAGAGAAACUAUUUCUUAGCCCACAUAUUCCCAUUUCUUAGUUCACGAACACAGGUCAGUGACAAGCACCUGAGGUUUCUUCAAAGCACUGGAAGCCAUUGUUUAUGAGUCAUGGUUAUUGUCUUUGAUGGGUAUGUCCUUCCUGGCUGUUGAAAGUUCCUAGUUUACGUGAAGGUUCACUCUCAGUGUUAGAAUAAUUUUGGCCUCAUAGAAUGAGUUAGGAAGUAUC